GCAUCUCUAGGGUGUGCGUAAGCGUCCUGUAAUAUCCCUUGAGCCUUAAAUACUGACUCUGGGAGUGGAUCCGGUGUGACUGUGUGCGUUACCGCUUUGACGGGAGGCCUGACGUGGCAUCAUCUGCUCCCCCCUGAACUUACCGGUUCAAGGUCAACAGUAUUUGCUACGGCACUCCGGAGAUGUC
RNAcentral lists this non-coding RNA (187 nucleotides) under Gammaproteobacteria bacterium. RNAcentral's name for it is "6S RNA". It matches the Rfam family "6S / SsrS RNA". From Rfam's summary of the family: E. coli 6S RNA was the first non coding RNA to be sequenced, but its function was unknown until recently. The record is from RNAcentral. Lineage: Bacteria; Pseudomonadati; Pseudomonadota; Gammaproteobacteria.